CGCCUGACUCCUAGCAGGAGGGGAGGCGGGAAAGCAGCUCAAGCCUCACCCACCGCCCUGCCCCCAGCCCCGCCACUCCCAGGCUCCUCGGGACUCGGCGGGUCCUCCUGGGAGUCUCGGAGGGGACCGGCUGUGCAGACGCCAUGGAGUUGGUGCUGGUCUUCCUCUGCAGCCUGCUGGCCCCCACGGUCCUGGCCAGUGCAGCUGAGAAGGAGAAGGAAAUGGACCCUUUUCAUUAUGAUUACCAGACCCUGAGGAUUGGGGGACUGGUGUUCGCUGUGGUCCUCUUCUCGGUUGGGAUCCUCCUUAUCUUAAGUCGCAGGUGCAAGUGCAGUUUCAAUCAGAAGCCCCGGGCCCCAGGAGAUGAGGAAGCCCAGGUGGAGAACCUCAUCACCGCCAAUGCAACAGAGCCCCAGAAAGCAGAGAACUAAAGUGCAGCCAUCGGGUGGAAGGUGAGAUGCUCACUGCCUGGACUGGCCCCUGUCACCAUCACCAUCUGCAUCAGGGCCUGGACAGGGGUUCAGGCAGGAAGGAUGGGGCUAGCUUUUGUAGUGGGUACAGCUUUUAUUAUGGGCCCUGCCCUGAGGAGCCUUCAGGAGUCUGAAAGGGACUGUGAGAGAGACCAGGACCAGAAACACCCGAAGUGUCCCACACAC
RNAcentral lists this small RNA (656 nucleotides) under Pongo abelii (Sumatran orangutan). RNAcentral describes it as "retained intron". The record is from RNAcentral. Lineage: Eukaryota; Metazoa; Chordata; Mammalia; Primates; Hominidae.